ACACUCAAAAAGUUAAUCAAAUAUGGAUACUUCUGAUACAAGCUGCGCAGGUGUAUUUCAAAAUUUAGACGUAAGUAAAACGAAUUGUACAUUAUUUUCAACAAAACAUACUGGUUUAUGAUAAAGUUCACCUAUAAAAUUCAAAGAGAAGCUUUAAAAAUAGUUUUUUUUUCAAAUUUCACCUUACUGUUAAGUUUGAUCUUAUUGUUAGGUGAAUUCUCACUUUUUCUAGAAUUUUUUUUCUAUAAUAAUAAAUAACAUCCGGUUAUAUAGUUAUUGCACAAAUGUGUCGAAGGAAGUUUUUUUGGAAAUGAGUAGUGUGUGUACUUUUACAAAAUCGAGAAAAGCUUUUAUCUAAAAAAGUAAAGUUCAAACGUUUCAAAUAAAUUGUUGCAAUAAGUGACGAUUUUUUUUAAAACAUAAAAACAGAGACAAUAAUAACUUGUAAACACGAGGUAUUUAAUUGCAAUUUGCAAUCUUGCAAUCCUGUAUUGUUUCUGCGUAAAGCAAUCAGUAGAAUGAAAGGAAAAUUCGAAAAAAGACAACAAUAUCAUUUUAUUUUCAGAACAAUAGUCUCAGUAUACAAGUGUUUAACAAUCAAAUAAUCGUCUACAAUAUUUUGGAAAAUGUAAGAGGAGAUAUAAACGACCGAUUGAAGUUGCGUGUAAGUCAUUUCGAUAACCAUUUGUGUAUUUUUCUUUAAUUAAUAACAACCAUACAUUUGUGAUUUUGAAAAACUGAUUUUUGGAAGAUUUCACAAAAAGAAAGCAAUGUUGAGACGCAGUUCAUUGAUAAUUUAAAUUAAAGCUUCGGAAUAAUUAUGGUACAGUGUUCGUCAAAAACGUAUCCUUGAUCGUUAAUUUUUUUUUGAAAAAUUUGCAUAAUAUUGCGGGCGAAUGGAACAGUAAUCGAGGUUUUGGGGUAUGGCGAUAAUGCUAGGAUCAUGGAGUCAUCCUCGGCCGGCUCUCAGCCCAUCUAACAACAUUACGAAUUAUAUACCGUGAAAUUGCAGAAAUAUCAAGCAACUAUAAGAUAUCACCUUUUUGGUCUCUACUUUAUCAUUAAUAAGGGAAACGAUGAUGUUGCUGGAACUACCAUGUAGGCGUUCAAACGCCUGCCUGCCUGCCUGACUAUAAACUCCGCCUGCCGUCCCGUCGCCUGUUUCUCGCCUCAACCCGCGUCCUAUGUUGAACCAUUCUUAAUUUGAUUUUCAUCAAAUUUAUAGAAAUGAGAAUAUUCGAAAUUUGUGAAUUCCCGUAAAAAUGCAGCCGGUGUGAAGUGAGCAGAUUUCAGGCAGGCCCAGAAUCCGCGUCUGCCUACCAAAGAAGCCCUAGUUGACGCGUAUGUAAAAAGACAAAUUUGAUUUAUCAAUAAAUAUAAUUACCCGAACUAUUCCGUCGCACCCUGUCUAAAAUCAUUCAAACUAAGACUAACCAGUUUUCAGUUAGUCAACAAAUCAUUCAAUUUGGCAACCAUUCACGCUAUUCGAAAAGAGCACCGAACAGUUGAAUUUCACAAGACUACACGUUGUAAUGAUCGUAGAAGAUUAGACCCUAGAGACCCUAGAAAUAAUAGAACUGAGCCAUGUCAAAAUUGUUCGGUCUACUUAAAUUCGGAAAAGCUCAAUGCGAAAAAUUUAUUUAGCUAUGCUUGGUAAGAAUAAACAUUCCGUAACAAAAAGUGCGUUUUGGUCUAUACUGCAGGUUCUUGAAACAAACAAUGAGGAUCAUGGUAGUUAAAAUAAUAAUCGGAGACUCCGGAUCAUAUUGUUUUAAUGUUCAUAAUGUUGUUCAAGAAGCAUUGGUAGAUCCCGAUUGUAAGUUUUGUUUAUCCAUCGUUAUAAAAAAUAGUGGAAAUGCUUUAAUAUUCAGUUGAAAAAGUGGAAGAAUUCGUUGGUGCUGAUAAUUUGAAUUGUUUUGGAUGUGAAGUAUGUGAAGAUAUAGCUUUAAAUUGCAAAGUAUAUGGACCAGUUCAAAUUAAUAGUUUUCGACCUAUAAUGAGACAGAAGCAUCAUUUUGAUGUUUUACAGAUCAAAGACAGGUGAUUUAAUUUUUCAUUUGUUUUGUAAGGGUGAGAAAUGAAAGUUUUGCUGUUUUGUUUUGUGUUUCAAUUUUUUCUAAACUUGUGAGUUAUGAAAAAUUUGUCGAUAGGGGUGUGCGGCAAUUUUGCCGAAUUUGCCGAGCUCGGAAAGUUUCGAAAUUUGCCGCACACAUCAAAAAUUUGGCAUUACAAUUUUGAUCAAAACUAUUGAUUUUGUCGCCAAAAAUUUAGUAAAAUGACACAAAAUAGAGUUACUGGCUGCCGGGUUUUCGGUAUUUUUGAAAAAUUUACGGUUUUUUUUUAAUAAAUCGAAAAAAAACAACGUUUUUCUGGUGUACGUAUUGAAAGCGUGAUGUUUCUUGCCGCAUCGUGUUGCAUGGAAAGAUGCUGUAUUUCCUUUAUUAGUCUUGCAUGUAAGACUAAUUUUCGAUUGACCUGUAGGGGUGCAAGACUAUUAGAGGCUGCAUGACUAAUUUUCGAAGAUCCAAUAGCUUUGUAAAAUUGACCAUUUCCCGUCGAGAGCUCUAUUUGACAGUUGAAAUCAUCCAACAUACAUAUUGUUCUAUUAUCAUUUACUAUAUAUAAAGCGCUUAUUCCGUUUGUCCAUAGUUUGUAGUCUAUGUAGUCUUUGUAGUCUGUGACGUCACAGCGUACAGAGGCAAGACAUUUUAAGCAGUUGGUGGGAUAUUGGUUUGAGGUUAGUGGCCGGACAUGAUCGGGGUACUGUAGUAGUACUGUAGAGGUACUGUAGGAGUACUGUAGGAUUACUGUAGUUUGGGAAAAAUUGACUUUUCGUCUUUUGAUGGGAUAUUGGUUUAGGUUAGUGGUGGGAUAUGGUCGGGGUACUGUAGUAGUACUGUAGAGGUACUGUAGGAGUACUGUAGGAUUACUGUAGUUUGGGAAAAUGUGACUUUUCGCCUUUUGAUGGGAUAUUGGUUUGAGGUUAGUGGUUGGAUAUGGUCGGGGUACUGUAGUAGUACUGUAGAGGUACUGUAGGAGUACUGUAGAAUUACUGUAGUUUGAGAAAAAUUGACUUUUCGCCUUUUGAAGGGAUAUUGGUUUGAGGUUAGUGAUGGGAUGUGGUCGGGGUACUGUAGUAGUACUGUAGAGGUUCUGUAGGAGUACUGCAGGAUUACUGUAGUUUAGGAAAAAUUGACUUUUUGUCUUUUGAAGAGAUAUUAGAAAAUUCGAGAAAUUUUCUAUAUAGAAUCGUCUGGAAAGCUCGAGAAAAUUCUGGAAUGUUCUAGAACCUUCUGGAAAAUUCUGGAAAAUUCGAAAUUUAAAAAAUGUUCGUGACGAGACCCAUCGUGGUGAGACCCAUCGCGGUGAGACCCAUCGUGGUGAGACCCAAAUUUUUGGCGGGAAAUUCAAAUUUUCAGUGAAAAAAAUUUUGGCGGGAAAUUCAAAUUUUCAGUGAAAAAAUUUUGGCGGGAAAUUCAAAUUUCAGUGAAAAAAAUUUUUGGUGGGAAAUUCAAAUUUCAGUGAAAAAAAUUUUUAGCGGAAAUUCAAAUUUUCAGUGAAAAAAUUUUUGGCGGGAAAUUCAAAUUUUCAGUGAAAAAAAUUUUGGCGGGAAAUUCAAAUUUUCAGUGAAAAAAUUUUGGCGGGAAAUUCAAAUUUCAGUGAAAAAAAUUUUUAGCGGAAAUUCAAAUUUCAGUGAAAAAAAAUUUUAGCGGGAAAUUCAAAUUUUCAGUAAAAAAAUUUCUGGCGGGAAAUUCAAAUUUUCAGUGAAAAAAAUUUUGGCGGGAAAUUCAAAUUUUCAGUGAAAAAAUUUUGGCGGGAAAUUCAAAUUUCAGUGAAAAAAAUUUUUAGCGGAAAUUCAAAUUUCAGUGAAAAAAAAUUUUAGCGGGAAAUUCAAAUUUUCAGUAAAAAAAUUUCUGGCGGGAAAUUCAAAUUUUCAGUGAAAAAAAUUUUGGCGGGAAAUUCAAAUUUUCUGUGAGAAAAAUUUUGGGGGGAAGUUCAAAUUUUCAGUGAAAAAAAUUUUGGCGGGAAAUUCAAAUUUUCAGUGAAAAACAUUUUGGCGGGAAUUUCAAAUUUUCAGUGAAAAACAUUUUGCCGGGAAAUUCAAAUUUUCAAAGAAACUUUUUGUUAGCUUAAGUACCACCUGGAACUGGCGAGACCCAUCGUGGUGAGACCCUUAAAAAUAUGGGCGGGAACUUCAAAAUUUAUGAGAAAAGAAAUUUUGGCGGGAAUUCAAAUUUUCUUUGAAAAAUUUUGGCGGGAAUUCAAAUUUUCUGAGAAAAAAAAUUUUGCGGGAAAUUCAGAUUUUCUGAGAAAAAAGAUUUUGGCGGGAAAUUCAAAUUUUCUGAGGAAAACAUGUGGCGGGAAAUCCAAAUUUUUGUUCUGGAAUCAAUUUUUUGUUUUAGCACCUUCUGGAAGUUUCAAGAAAAUUCUAGACUGUUCUAGAAUCAUCUGGAAAAUUCAAAAAAGUUCUGAAAUGCUCUACAACCUCCUAUAACUGUAGGAAUUUUUAUUUGUUUCGUUACAUCUAUAUUCAAAGAACUUAGUAGUUAAUUAUUCAGACUUCUCCAGUUAAGGAAAGUUAUUAACUUAUUAAAAAAACUGUAACUCUGUGGAAUUUUUUCGAAAGCCUGAUAAUGAUAAUGUGUUAGUAGAAAAAGCAGAACAUUCUAACUGUCUCUUUGAAUUUUCUGAAUUGUAUACCAUCGAAGGAGAAAAUGCGAUUUAAUCGAUGAAGUUUCAACUUUUUUUAAUGAGACAUUUUUGAAUGAUUAAAAGGACAUCUAUUUGUUAUACAUUUUAAACUCCGCCAGUCGUUGGCCACGCCGGAGGCGCGGUCAUCGGCUGGUUAAAUAUAUUGUAUCAAGUAUUUGAACAAUUUAAAUUUCGCCAAAAACUGACGAACUUGUUCAAGUUUUCUCGAUGUGUGUGUUAAGAAUUCAGUAGUUUUGGUGCUCCAAAAAACAAUUUUAAAAACCAAAUGUUUCCGAGUUUGUUAAGCACGGCAAAUUUUCUGAAUUUGCCGCACACCCCUGUUGUCGACGUCCAGGCUGUUCUAGGAUACUUCACACUCAAGAAUAUGAUUUUUUUCAAUGGACUUUCGAAUGUGAAAUUUAUAGCCUAUUCAUUUUACAGCAAACCAUAAUAUAAUAUUAGUGCCAAAAAAUUUAACCUGAUUCUAUCAUUUUGAGGUGGGCGGCAAACGAUUUUUUCCGGCAAAUCGGCAAAUCGGCAAAUUGCCGGAAUUUAAAUUUCCGGCAAACCGGCAAAUUGCCGAUUUGACGAAAAUUUUCGGCAAAUUGUGGUUUUGCACUUAUUUUUUCGGAAAUUUCAAAAUUUUAAUUUCAAAUGAAAAAAUUAGACGCAUCCUAUGAAUGUUCUUUCAUCUAUUUUGAAAAAUAAGUAUAUUCUAUGAAAAUUAGAGGGAUUUUCGACGGAAGCACUUAUUAUCAAAAAAUAUCAAUCGCACAGGCCACGUGGCUUUUGUUUUUUAUUUCUUUUUUAUUUACGCUCCCCCACACAACUUUAUUUUCAAAGAGAAUUUAAAAAUAGAACUAAAGGUCAAACAUGGGAGGAGCGUAAAUAAAAAAGAAAUAAAAAACAAAAGCCACGUGGCCUGUGCGAUUGAUAUUUUUUUGAUAAUAAAACUGUGCCUUUUUGAAUUUUUUUCCGUUUUUUCUACAUAUUUUCUUUCCGGCAAAUCUGAUAUCCGGCAAACGGCAAGUCGGCACUUUGCCGGAAUUGAAAAUUUCCGGCAAAUCGGCAAACCGGAAAUUUGCCGAUUUGCCGAAUUUGUCGGCAAAUCAAUUUGCCGAACGGCAAUUGCCGCCGCACCUCUGAUAUGUAUGUUCAUAACUGGACAUGGCGAAAAAAGUUGAUUUUUUUCAAAAUGGCAUUUUGAAUAUUUCCAAAAGUUACAUUUUCAGUUGUCUCUACUUAUUGUGGGACGAAAAAAAAGAGAAUCCGGCAAUAGUUACCGACGUUAUCAAUUCAAAUAUCACUUGAUCAAAAUUGACCAUUUUUCUCACAUCUGUAUUCGAGAAAGACGAUUGGGGAUAUGCUCUACCACGAAAGUUCCUGGAUUUGAUAAUAACAAAAUGGAACGUGAGGACUGUUGAAAUUGCUUUCAAACAUGUAAAGGUCCAUUUCCUCGUUUUAACGCGGAUGAUAUUGUUCCCAAAGCCAAGUUCUAUGUGGAUUAUUGGACACAGCCACGUUCCAAAUAUACAUUGGAUGAAGUAGAAGUUGAUUUACAACUCACAAAAGUAUUCGAAGUACAAAUCGAGAGGAAGAAGUCACAUGUUGCCACCAAUUUCAUUGCAAAUACUUGCAGGAUUUUUCCCAGCAAAAAGAUCAGUGUGAAACUCUCAAAGGACAUUUGUCAACUGCUAAUCGAUCCAGAAAACAUUGAGGACUUCAUAUCGGAAAUCAAAUUGAUGCUUCAAAAGGAUUCUCAACCUAAUUCGCAGAUUUCUUUGAAAUUAUAUCAGUAG
This 6491-nucleotide small RNA is filed under the name Caenorhabditis elegans. Its description in RNAcentral is "Unclassified non-coding RNA Y92H12BR.11". The record is from RNAcentral. Lineage: Eukaryota; Metazoa; Nematoda; Chromadorea; Rhabditida; Rhabditidae.